RNAcentral lists this ribosomal RNA (494 nucleotides) under uncultured bacterium. RNAcentral's name for it is "partial 16S ribosomal RNA". It matches the Rfam family "Bacterial small subunit ribosomal RNA", at positions 29 to 507 of the family's 1533-position model. The record is from RNAcentral.
ACGAACGCUGGCGGCGUGCCUAAUACAUGCAAGUAGAACGCUGAAGGAGGAGCUUGCUUCUCUGGAUGAGUUGCGAACGGGUGAGUAACGCGUAGGUAACCUGCCUGGUAGCGGGGGAUAACUAUUGGAAACGAUAGCUAAUACCGCAUAAUAGUAGAUGUUGCAUGACAUUUGCCUAAAAGGUGCAAUUGCAUCACUACCAGAUGGACCUGCGUUGUAUUAGCUAGUUGGUGGGGUAACGGCUCACCAAGGCGACGAUACAUAGCCGACCUGAGAGGGUGAUCGGCCACACUGGGACUGAGACACGGCCCAGACUCCUACGGGAGGCAGCAGUAGGGAAUCUUCGGCAAUGGACGGAAGUCUGACCGAGCAACGCCGCGUGAGUGAAGAAGGUUUUCGGAUCGUAAAGCUCUGUUGUAAGAGAAGAACGAGUGUGAGAGUGGAAAGUUCACACUGUGACGGUAGCUUACCAGAAAGGGACGGCUAACUACGUG